Molecule: long non-coding RNA, 568 nt
Organism: Esox lucius (northern pike)
Lineage: Eukaryota; Metazoa; Chordata; Actinopteri; Esociformes; Esocidae
Exons: 4
Source: RefSeq, a predicted model, not a curated record
UUUAGCUUGAGCAUUCAGGGUAAUCAUUUAGCCUACCUACUAAAAAUACAAACAUGUGAAUUAUCUCAAAUGUUUUGACAGAUGUCUAGUUUAUGGAAAAUUAAACAGACUACUCCGCUGAAAACAGCUAAAAACACAGAAAAGCCCCUGGAUAUGGUGCAGUGUGUUGGUAAAGCAGUCCUACAGCCUAUCUCAGGAGCCAGACCCAACAACACAGAAAAACAUACUCCAAACCAAGUCAGAACAAAACAGAUAAGACAUGUUAUCAGAAGCAGGCCAACAUGCUUGAAGCCAUCUUUAAAGAAUGAGAACACUACAACGCUUUGCAUCUGUCCACGAAAACUUUCCAGUUUGUGGCAAAUUAAACAGACUACUCUGCUGACACCAGCUAAAAACCUGGAAAAGCCCCUGGAUAUGGUGCUGUGUGUUGGUAAAGCAGUCCUACAGCCUAUCUCAGGAGCCAGACCCAACAACACAGCAAAACCAACUUCAAACCAAAUAUGUUGUCCAAUCAGAAGCAGGCCAGUAUGCUUGAAGCCAUCCCUAAAGCAUGAGAACACAACAUUUC